GUCCCUUUGGGUACAUUCGAUAAAAUUACAAUGAUAUAGAGAAGAUUAGCAUGGCGCCUGCGCAAGAAUGACAUGCACAAAUCAAAAAAUGGUUCAAUUUUUA
This is a small nuclear RNA of Solanum pennellii, 103 nucleotides long. NCBI's taxonomy places the organism in Eukaryota, Viridiplantae, Streptophyta, Magnoliopsida, Solanales, Solanaceae. The record is from RefSeq and is a predicted model, not a curated record.